GAUGAACGCUGGCGGCGUGCCUAAUACAUGCAAGUCGAGCGAACAGACGAGGAGCUUGCUCCUCUGACGUUAGCGGCGGACGGGUGAGUAACACGUGGAUAACCUACCUAUAAGACUGGUAUAACUUCGGGAAACCGGAGCUAAUACCGGAUAAUAUAUUGAACCGCAUGGUUCAAUAGUGAAAGACGGUUUUGCUGUCACUUAUAGAUGGAUCCGCGCCGCAUUAGCUAGUUGGUAAGGUAACGGCUUACCAAGGCAACGAUGCGUAGCCGACCUGAGAGGGGGAUCGGCCACACUGGAACUGAGACACGGUCCAGACUCCUACGGGAGGCAGCAGUAGGGAAUCUUCCGCAAUGGGCGAAAGCCUGACGGAGCAACGCCGCGUGAGUGAUGAAGGUCUUCGGAUCGUAAAACUCUGUUAUUAGGGAAGAACAAAUGUGUAAGUAACUAUGCACGUCUUGACGGUACCUAAUCAGAAAGCCACGGCUAACUACGUG
This 497-nucleotide ribosomal RNA is filed under the name uncultured bacterium. RNAcentral describes it as "partial 16S ribosomal RNA". It matches the Rfam family "Bacterial small subunit ribosomal RNA", at positions 28 to 507 of the family's 1533-position model. The record is from RNAcentral.